RNAcentral lists this ribosomal RNA (467 nucleotides) under uncultured bacterium. RNAcentral describes it as "partial 16S ribosomal RNA". It matches the Rfam family "Bacterial small subunit ribosomal RNA", at positions 28 to 507 of the family's 1533-position model. The record is from RNAcentral.
GACGAACGCUGGCGGCGUGCUUAACACAUGCAAGUCGAACGGAAAGACCCUGCUUUUGUGGGGUGCUCGAGUGGCGAACGGGUGAGUAACACGUGAGUAACCUGCCCUUGACUUUGGGAUAACUUCAGGAAACUGGGGCUAAUACCGGAUAGGAGCUCCUGCUGCAUGGUGGGGGUUGGAAAGUUUCGGCGGUUGGGGAUGGACUCGCGGCUUAUCAGCUUGUUGGUGGGUAGUGGCUUACCAAGGCUUUGACGGGUAGCCGGCCUGAGAGGGUGACCGGCCACAUUGGGACUGAGAUACGGCCCAGACUCCUACGGGAGGCAGCAGUGGGGAAUAUUGCACAAUGGGCGGAAGCCUGAUGCAGCAACGCCGCGUGCGGGAUGACGGCCUUCGGGUUGUAAACCGCUUUCGCCUGUGACGAAGCGUGAGUGACGGUAAUGGGUAAAGAAGCACCGGCUAACUACGUG